GACGUGAAACCCAGUGCUUGCAUUGGGGAGUAAAGUGGCGAACGGGUGAGUAACACGUUGGUGACCUGUCCCGAGGAGGGGGAUAACCGUGGGAAACCACGGCUAAUACCCCAGAUGUUUAAGUGCUUAGACAGCUUAGACUAAAGCUCCGGCGCCUCGGGAGGGGCCUGCGGGCUAUCAGCUUGUUGGUGGGGUAAUGGCCUACCAAGGCGAAGACGGCUAGGGGGCGUGAGAGCGCGAUCCCCCACAAUGGAACUGAGACACGGUCCAUACUCCUACGGGAGGCAGCAGUGAGGAAUAUUGCACAAUGGGGGCAACCCUGAUGCAGCAACGCCGCGUGAACGAUGAAGGCCUUUGGGUUGUAAAGUUCUUUUCUGAGGGAAGAUAAUGACGGUACCUCAGGAAUAAGUCCCGGCUAACUACGUGCCAGCAGCCGCGGUAAAACGUAGGGGGCGAGCGUUAUCCGGAUUUAUUGGGCGUAAAGCGCACGUAGGUGGCGCUGUAAGUUGGACGUGAAAGCUCUCGGCUCAACUGAGAGAGGUCGUUCAAAACUGCAGGGCUUGAGGUUGGAAGAGGAGAGUGGAAUUCCCGGUGUAGUGGUGGAAUGCGUAGUUAUCGGGAGGAACACCAGUGGCGAAGGCGACUCUCUGGUCCACACCUGACGCUGAGGUGCGAAAGCGUGGGGAGCGAACGGGAUUAGAUACCCCGGUAGUCCACGCCGUAAACGAUGGAUACUAGGUGUA
RNAcentral lists this ribosomal RNA (743 nucleotides) under uncultured Chloroflexota bacterium. Its description in RNAcentral is "bacterial SSU rRNA". It matches the Rfam family "Bacterial small subunit ribosomal RNA", at positions 65 to 824 of the family's 1533-position model. Lineage: Bacteria; Bacillati; Chloroflexota. The record is from RNAcentral.